Long non-coding RNA from Aphidius gifuensis, 1506 nucleotides. RefSeq lists it as uncharacterized. The transcript is spliced from 3 exons. NCBI's taxonomy places the organism in Eukaryota, Metazoa, Arthropoda, Insecta, Hymenoptera, Braconidae. The record is from RefSeq and is a predicted model, not a curated record.
GUCUUUUUUAUAUAUUAAAUACAGAGACACUUGUAAGACUUCAUAACAUCAAAAAGUGACAGGAGAUUCACCAAAGCUGCUAUUACUUUCGUUAAAUUUAUAUACAAUAUUUAAAAAAUAUUAUUCUCUGGAGCAUAAAUAUUCAAGCUUUAUCAAUAAACUCGCUAUCUUCUGAUGGAUAUAAACCAAUUUUUUGGAAAGAUUGAAAUUACGUUAUCACUUCGGUGGAAAAUAGAAAAGUACCCAACAAAAUGAGGUACACUUACAUAUUGACCAAAGAAAAAUAAAUGGAAAAAAAAGGCAACCAAUUUCUUCGGAGCUUGUACAUGCUACCACAUGCGAUAAGAUCAUUUUGGGAGCAGCACGCACGCACGUGUAAAUUUUUAUGAAAAAAAUAAAUAAAUAUAUUGUUGAAUUGGCUAUUGGAUCAACGAUCGACUAUUAGCAACGACAUCGAGAGUGAUUAGUUUAUUCACCGAGGACGCAUUGGGCAACGAAGCAUGUAUUAACAGUUAACCUUACACGCUGAUUAUAUAUACAACAUCCAGAAUAUAUAUUGACAGUUACAGUUUUGUUGCAAUUAUAUAUUGAGAUCAAGUUGAUGCCAGCGGUCAUCUAGGAGGUGUUAUGGACUAUUUUUCACUAUCACACAUAUACACGCAUAUAAUAACAUAGUGUAUGGAUAUAUUAGCAUUGGUUACGAAAAGCUAAGUAUUGAAUUACCGUUAUUAUCAAAGAAGUGUAAGUUUGUAUAUCAAAACAAACCACUAACGUUUGCCACUGGUGUUUUCUCGGUCAAUUUAAAUUGUCGGUUUACCAUAUUUUAAAUAUUCACGCAUCUCAAUAACCUCAUUGUAUUGUUAACCUUUGCUUAGACAAUUUAAAUUCACUUAGUUAUAAUUUAAAUUUAUAUAUAUAUUAAAUAAUUAUCUUUAAUUAUCAAUCUACUACUCGGCAGAAAUAUAAAAUAAAUAAUAACAUUUUUUUUUCUUUUUUUAUAAAUGUUAAAAUAAGUAUAAAGAUAAAUCGACAUCAGGCAAAAUGAACAAGGUAUGAUGAUGUAAUUAUUUUUACGAGAUAACCAAUGCUUUUAAACUGCAUUAAUUUGCGACUAUUAUUGCGCUGGUAAGUUUAAUAUUUUUAUGCUGUUAGCCAUCAAGUAAUUGGUUCAACCGCGUUAAUUCAGCUCAGGGCUAGACUCGCUAACUUUCAUUUAACAUACAUAUUAUUUUAUUCAGCAUCACAAAGGGCUCCUCCUUCAAAUAAAUAAUAAAUAAUAAAAUAAAUAAAUAUAUAUAAAUGAAUAUAUAAUACAUCUGAUGGCUUUUCCUGCAAUUCAAUAAGCUAUUAUUCCAGUCAGUCAGCGUAUACAUAUAUGUCCUUCGAUCUGAUCCAGGUUAACACGAAGGACUGAACCUUGAGGCAAUCUCUAACUGCCUCGGAUGCAGUAGUGGUGCAUUUUACACAAAUUUAUACAAAAUUAAAAAAAUCACAAAAACGAAUAUA